RNAcentral lists this long non-coding RNA (732 nucleotides) under Homo sapiens (human). RNAcentral describes it as "HSALNT0387131". Lineage: Eukaryota; Metazoa; Chordata; Mammalia; Primates; Hominidae. The record is from RNAcentral.
GAGAACUCCAAGGGCAGGAGGUAACCAUUAAAGAGGACCAUCAUGUAGUGUGAGGAGUCAACAUUUCACACUAGAAAGCCCUUGGUUCAAGUUUUGUCUCUGCCACCUACAGAUUUUGUAACCCUGAUGAGAUCAUUUGUACAAAUCUUGAAACCAAAGCACAGCCUGUAUGAACCCAUGUUGAACCCUGGACUUUCAGGACUACUGUAUGGCUAACCACAGCCCUGCAAGGCCAGGCUCAGCAUGUCACAGUUUUGCCACUGAACAAGAAUCUUUCGAAGGAUCGCAAAUACUACAUGGAAAAUGACUGUAUUCUUUCUGCAAGGCCACUCUCUUAGACAUCACCCUAACAAAAACAAUUACGGGUUGGAAGAGGAGAAAGGAUGCAAAGUUUGUGCCUUGACCUAAAAAAGGUCAUGAGCACCUCUACCGGUUCUUGGAAACAUUAGUUGCAGUGGAUCUCAAAUUCUAUUGCGCAAAAGAACGACCUGGUGACCCUCUAAAAGUGUAGAUUCUCUGGUUUCACCCCUAGACCUUGUGACUCACAUGUCCAGUGAGGCCAGGAACUCCUCACUGUUAACCUGUGCCCUAUUUUAACAAGCCCUGCUGGGAGUCGGGAUGUUGGGGGUCCCCACACCACACUGAAAUAGAGGAAUUCCCUGCUCAAAGAUCCCGUUAUGUCCUGAUUACAAUCUGCAAUGAGAUUAUGAAAUCAUUAAAUCAUGAUUAAGC